GGAGAGAUGUCCGAGCGGCUGAAGGAGCACGAUUGGAAAUCGUGUGUACGCUAAUACCGUACCGAGGGUUCAAAUCCCUCUCUCUCCGCCA
This 91-nucleotide transfer RNA is filed under the name Geobacter sp. Its description in RNAcentral is "tRNA-Ser". It matches the Rfam family "tRNA". From Rfam's summary of the family: Transfer RNA (tRNA) molecules are approximately 80 nucleotides in length. Lineage: Bacteria; Pseudomonadati; Thermodesulfobacteriota; Desulfuromonadia; Geobacterales; Geobacteraceae. The record is from RNAcentral.